UAAAGAUUCAUCGCUGAUAGAUAGGCAUGCGUUCCAUUAGGCAGUUGGCGGGGUAACGGCCCACCAAACCGACGAUGGAUAGGGGUUCUGAGAGGAAGGUCCCCCACAUUGGUACUGAGACACGGACCAAACUCCUACGGGAGGCAGCAGUGAGGAAUAUUGGUCAAUGGGCGUAAGCCUGAACCAGCCAAGUCGCGUGAGGGAUGAAGGUUCUAUGGAUCGUAAACCUCUUUUAUAAGGGAAUAAAGUGCGGGACGUGUCCCGUUUUGCAUGUACCUUAUGAAUAAGGAUCGGCUAACUCCGUGCCAGCAGCCGCGGUGAUACGGAGGAUCCGAGCGUUAUCCGGAUUUAUUGGGUUUAAAGGGUGCGUAGGCGGCCUUUUAAGUCAGCGGUGAAAGUCUGUGGCUCAACCAUAGAAUUGCCGUUGAAACUGGGAGGCUUGAGUAUGUUUGAGGCAGGCGGAGUGCGUGGUGUAGCGGUGAAAUGCUUAGAUAUCACGCAGAACCCCGAUUGCGAAGGCAGCCUGCCAAGCCAUGACUGACGCUGAUGCACGAAAGCGUGGGGAUCAAACAGGAUUAGAUACCCUGGUAGUCCACGCAGUAAACGAUGAUCACUAGCUGUUUGCGAUACACAGUAA
RNAcentral lists this ribosomal RNA (637 nucleotides) under uncultured bacterium. Its description in RNAcentral is "bacterial SSU rRNA". It matches the Rfam family "Bacterial small subunit ribosomal RNA", at positions 202 to 842 of the family's 1533-position model. The record is from RNAcentral.